Molecule: long non-coding RNA, 2710 nt
Organism: Rhineura floridana
Lineage: Eukaryota; Metazoa; Chordata; Lepidosauria; Squamata; Rhineuridae
Exons: 3
Source: RefSeq, a predicted model, not a curated record
AGCUGACACUCGAGAACAGCACCUCCACCUGAGGCGGGUCCCGCGGCCGCCCCCACAUCACCAGCUCACCGAGGCUCGGCCUGGGUCGCCUAAGCGAAGUUGAGCUACACACCCAGGGCGCCGCGGCCUGGGGCGAGGCGGGGGUCCGGUCACUUCUCUCUCUCCCCCCUCCCCUCCGUCUCUACUCACGAUGGUGACGCUGGCCUUGCGAAGGUCGCGGUUCUCCUCCUGCAGCGCUUUGCACUUGAGCUUGUAGGUCUCCAGCUCGAUCUUUAGCACCUUGUUCUCCUGCUGCAGCGACGCCAGACGGUUCGUCAGCUCCUCCAGCCGGAACGGCGAGAUCACGAUGCCGCCCGCUUUGGUGCCCCCCGCCGAGCCAGGCCCCGCCGGGCAGCCGGGCAGCGCUCCCGGUGCCCCUCCACCGCCACUUCCACUGCCUCCUGCGCCGUCCGUGUCGCUCUCACUGGCGCUGUCGGCCAUGCCCGAGCACUGAGGACGUGGAGGAGGCUCCGGCUGCUGCAGAAGGGGCUGUUCCCACUGCUUCGCCUCGACCCACCCCCGCUCGUUUGCUCGCCUCUCAGGCGGCGGCGAGUGCGAGGGACGGAGGCGGGGUCGGCGACGAAAGCGCACUGCCUGGGCCGUGCAGCGAGAAGAGGCUGGCGCAAGCUCCGUCCGCACCGAACAACCUUCUCGCUUGACGCCAAGAAGGGAGCUGCCCGAUUCCCUUGGCGGGCCCACAGCGACGCCGACCGCGGCCUACCGAUACUGCAACAGAUACAGCCAAUGGCCAUGGCUGGCUGGGCGGGAACAUCACGCGCCGCUACUCGGCGGCCUCCCUCGCUACCCCUUCGGCUGGGCGGAACCAGCAGAGUCCAUCGAAGCCGAACAGAAAGACUGUUAAAGUCUCUCCUUCGCUCAGCACGGCUGCCUCAGAUAAACAUCCGGCAGCGUUGUCCUCCGGCCUGACGUACAGCCCACUAGGGCCGUAGUCCUAUGUACUCUUAGAGGCUGCAAUCCUGAACAUAUUUGUAAGAAAAUAAGGCCACUUGAACACAGAGGGACUUACUUCGGAGUGAAUAUGCGUGGGGUUGCCCUGAUGGACAUUCUAAGGCUGCAGUCCUAUACACUGUUAGGAGUAACUACUUAACUCAAUGAUUCUCAAACAGUGCUCCCAGGCACACUGGUGCGCCCUAAGAGGUGGCUAGGUGUGCAUCAAAUAUUAUGAAAGUAUAUUUUAAAAAUGAGAAGAAACCCAUUUGUAUAGGAGAUGCUGAGGCAUCACCAGCAAUCAGCAGGCCUCUAUCCCGAACACAGUCUUCUCCCCUUGUGAUACAAUUGUGGUACAGAAAAGCAAGUAUCUAACUCUUCAUUGCUGCUAAGGAAAUAGCUGCUUUGCUACUGAGGGCGGUAGAGAAGUGCCAUCAGAAAGCUUGAGAAGAGAAGCCAAUAGGCUGUGUUUGCGAGUCAUUGUGAUAUCGGCAGCCCAGUGUGACAUCAGCAGCUGGUAGCAUCCACGGAAUGGGAAUGAAAGAAGGGAGACAGGACACAGGACCCAGAGUUAAAGGGGUGACAUAGAAGGGAUAAAAGGAAGAAGGGAAGCAGCCAAUUUGGGAAAGAAGGUGUAGAAGAAGAAAAGCCCAAGGGGACAGAAGCUGGAUCAAGAAACGCGUGGAGGCUUACAAAAGGAAGCCAGAACAUGAGAGGUGGCAGGAGCUGGAGGGAAGAGGGGAAAUGAUGCAGCAGACAGAGGAGGCAUGAAGGCGAAGAGAUGGAGAUGCCCAGAGAAAAGAAAGUGGGGCAAAGGCACUUGGGAGCAGGGGAAAUGGUACCCACCAACCAACUCGGGCAUAUAGUCCUUCUUUAUAGCCACAUUUUCAACAUGCAUUACUUCCACCAUUUGCAAAGGAGUAUGAAUAAUACCACAAUAUACAUGUAAGUGAAGAGCUUUAACACAAUUUAUUUUAUGCUUAAAUAAUCAACUAGAUCAUCCAGUGUUUGUGUUUUCUUCAUACAUAAUUAGAGCUAUGAUCAAUGAAUUCUGUUUUCAUAUGAAGAUAAUUAACAAAUUAAAGUAUUUCACCAAAAACCCAAAUAAAAAUGCCCUUUAAAACACAGCAGCCUUAACAACCUAAUAUUACACUGCUAGAAUGAUUACAGAUGAUUGGCUUACUUAAAGAUUCUACAUCUUAGAGCCAGUACACAAUACAGUAAUAUUUUUACAGCGUGCUGCCAGUCUGUUAGCUAAGAAUUUCUCUUCAUUUCUUUUUUUAAAUAUCCCAAACUUGUGCUCACAAGAGCACCAACCCAUUUCUAAAAGCUGCAAGCAUUUCCCCCGGUAUAAAGCAAGAACAGAUAGCACCCCCUCCCUAUAAUGCAACUACUGUAUAUGUUAUGAUUUCUUUAAAUUUUAGGUCAUUUCCACUGAAAAAAUUGGCAACAGCAACAAAUAUUAGAUGAAGGACUUUGUGUUUACAGGUAAAGGGCACACUACACCGAGCACUGCUGCUGUGUAACCACCCUUCAUUUUCAGUGGUGCUUGUGCUGGAGCCCACUGCAAGCCCCAUUUAAAUGACUGGGGGGCCCUUAGCGGCUGUGCUUGGUUGAUUGCACCCCCAGAAUCUUAUUUGUCACGUUGCGGUCUAGUGUUUGCAAAACUGGAAAAUAUUUCAUCAAAAUAAGGUGAAACGCAUGCAUCAAAAUAUUAGUACUC